CACAUCACGUAGGCACCAGGUGU
RNAcentral lists this microRNA (23 nucleotides) under human gammaherpesvirus 4 (Epstein-Barr virus). RNAcentral describes it as "ebv-miR-BART4-3p". Its record names the gene ebv-miR-BART4-3p. The record is from miRBase by way of RNAcentral. Lineage: Duplodnaviria; Heunggongvirae; Peploviricota; Herviviricetes; Herpesvirales; Orthoherpesviridae.